ACUCAGCUGUCUCUUCAGGAUUCGGUCUGUGAUUUUCGAAUGGGUAGUUGGAGGGCCCCUCAGAGGGUUCUGAAGACACUCUUUGCCACCUCCAGAGCGGAUGUGAAAACCACAGCACCUGGUUCCCUGACACACACACCCUCUCCUGUGAGGUUACUAGGCUCGAGGCUGUUUGGCGCAUGACUUCAGUGCCUGCCAUGUUUGGGGAGAAUGGAAAUGUGCUUGUUUCUCCCUUGCACACUGCAUAGAAAACAAACUGUGUUAGAGAAAAUGCCUGCAUCUGUUUGAGUAGGCAAAGACCUGAAAUAAACAUUCUCCCAUAAUCUCCACCUAAGUGUGGCCACCGUAAUUCAUGUCUCUACGAGUGGAUAUAAAGGAGGACGGGAUUGCUGGUCUCUUUUUGAAUGCGUCCUUGUGCAGCUGCUCCGCCAGGAUGCAUGCUUUCACAAGUCCAGGUUCCUAGCAGGCUCUUCAACCAGCAGCCACCUUCUCCUUUUCUAGAGAACCCAUUCUCAAGCCCGGGAGUUCCAUGUGUGUCUGCAGACAGUGUGACAAGACCAGUCUCCCUCACGCACUGCUGUCGAGUUGGUCCCGACGCUGGGAACCUGUCGGACAGACAGAGCGAACAAUAUCCCUGUUGGCUGGAUUGCGUGUACAUGGCUGGCCGUCCCCAUUCCUCGUGUUCACGACCAUAGAUCCCUGGGUGUCCGGGCAUCCUGGCACUGAGGACACUGGACUGGAAAACAGUUGGACAGCCUCUGCCGAAGUUAAGGCCACUUAGGUCCGUUCGCCUUUGUGCAGAUAAAAAACUAGCAUGAGCUUGCUGGCCUCUUGAGUACAUGCAUGAUCAGCCCUCCAUCAGCCUGCCUUCUUGCAGACGUCCAGGAAUUCUUCCAAGCCCCUACAGGAACCGGGUGGCUACCUUCUCCACAUCUACAGCGGAUACUCAGCCCAGCAGGGUUCACUUUGGGCCUGCAUACAGCUGGUAACAAUCCUACUGUCGUGAUGGUAACUGGAGCGCCUUCUACACCCGGAGAAGUAUUCAAGCGUCCCUCCUCUCUCCGCCCUUGCAAAGGAAAAGAAAAGCACCACCUCUCUAUCCGUCCGCCGAGCCGAUCAUGUCCCUGUUGGCUGGCUUGCACGUACGUGGCCGUCGGUCUCCAGCUCCCUGGUUGACGGCAGUGGCGUCUGGGUGUCUGCGCAUCUCCAUGCUGAUGGAAGUAGACUGGAAAACAAAGCGAGAGGAGAGACAACACUGCUCCCCUCUAGGCGGUGGAGUCA
Long non-coding RNA from Echinops telfairi (small Madagascar hedgehog), 1281 nucleotides. RefSeq lists it as uncharacterized. The transcript is spliced from 4 exons. Lineage: Eukaryota; Metazoa; Chordata; Mammalia; Afrosoricida; Tenrecidae. The record is from RefSeq and is a predicted model, not a curated record.